GCAAGUCGAACGAAGUAGCAAUACUUAGUGGCAGACGGGUGAGUAACAUGUAGGUAUCUGCCCUUUGGCCUGGAAUAACACGAGGAAACUUGUGCUAAUACCGGAUAAGUCUUUACGGAGAAAGCUUUAUGCACCAUUGGAUGAGCCUGCACUUGAUUAGUUUGUUGGUGGGGUAAAAGCCUACCAAGACUACGAUCUAUAGCUGGUUUGAGAGGAUGAUC
Molecule: ribosomal RNA, 221 nt
Filed under: uncultured bacterium
Lineage: Bacteria
Description: partial 16S ribosomal RNA
Rfam family: Bacterial small subunit ribosomal RNA
Source: RNAcentral